Molecule: ribosomal RNA, 752 nt
Filed under: uncultured Glomus
Lineage: Eukaryota; Fungi; Glomeromycota; Glomeromycetes; Glomerales; Glomeraceae
Description: SSU rRNA
Rfam family: Eukaryotic small subunit ribosomal RNA
Source: RNAcentral
GGCCUACCAUGGUGGUAACGGGUAACGGGGUGUUAGGGCACGACACCGGAGAGGGAGCCUGAGAAACGGCUACCACAUCCAAGGAUGGCAGCAGGCGCGCAAAUUACCCAAUCCCGACACGGGGAGGUAGUGACAAUAAAUAACAGUACGGGGUUCUUUCGGAUCUCGUAAUUGGAAUGAGUACAAUUUAAAUCUCUUAACGAGGAACAAUUGGAGGGCAAGUCUGGUGCCAGCAGCCGCGGUAAUUCCAGCUCCAAUAGCGUAUAUUAAAGUUGUUGCAGUUAAAAAGCUCGUAGUUGAAUUUCGGGAUCAGAUUGUCGGUCGUGCCUCGGUACGUACUGGCAUUAUUGGUUCCUACCUUCUGAAGAACCGCGAUGUCAUUAAUUUGGUGUCGUGGGGAAUCAGGACUGUUACUUUGAAAAAAUUAGAGUGUUUAAAGCAGGCGCACGCUUGAAUACAUUAGCAUGGAAUAAUGAAAUAGGACGUUUGAUUCUAUUUUGUUGGUUUCUAGGAUUGACGUAAUGAUUAAUAGGGAUAGUUGGGGGCAUUAGUAUUCAAUUGUCAGAGGUGAAAUUCUUGGAUUUAUUGAAGACUAACUACUGCGAAAGCAUUUGCCAAGGAUGUUUUCAUUAAUCAAGAACGAAAGUUAGGGGAUCGAAGACGAUCAGAUACCGUCGUAGUCUUAACCAUAAACUAUGCCGACUAGGGAUCGGAUGAUGUUAAUUUUUUAAUGACUCAUUCGGCGCCUUACG